This 977-nucleotide long non-coding RNA is filed under the name Olea europaea subsp. europaea. The record is from RNAcentral. Lineage: Eukaryota; Viridiplantae; Streptophyta; Magnoliopsida; Lamiales; Oleaceae.
AUAUAAUUCUUCUUUGUAUUCCUCUUGACCAUCGAAUGGAAAAAUUUAGUACAUAUGUCACUGCUUUUCAAGUAGGAACACUUGGCUUUCUGAAAAUAGAAGUUCCUCUCUGCUUCACAUAGAUGCAUAGCUUCCUUUCUCAAUUGUUGCACCUUAUAUUGAAGUUGAGAGUCAUGUAACUCGAGUUGAGCUACUUUCAGGUUCCUUUUUGCUGCCUCAACCCUAUUAGAAAUGUGCCCAAAGUGUUUCUCAUUUAGCUUUCUCAAGGCCCCUUUGAGAUGAUGUAAUUUCUUGCAAAGAAUGAAGUGUUUAGUGCCCAAAACCGCAUGAUUCCAGUCUAUUUGAACAACAUCCCGAAAAUCAUCAUGGUUUGUCCACAUGUUGAAUACUCUGAAUGACUUUCUUCUGCUCCCAUCGUGUUCAACCAUCAAAACGAUAUAAGGUGAAUGGUCCAAGAGGCAGCCUGAAGGUUGAAAAUCAGCUAGGCAAUGGAGUCCUACUUGUACCCAAGUAUCAUUUACCAUAGUCCUAUCUAUCUUGCUCCAAAUUGAAGAAUUAGUCCAAGUGAAUAAUAGCCAAUGGAUCUAACGUCCGUGAGGCCAACACUAAGGCAACAACUUUCAAAGUCCCUACCUUCAUAUGGAGUAACUUGAGCACCGUUGCUCCUCUCAUCAUUUUUAAGCACAUUAUUAAAGUCCCUGACUAACAUCCAUGGUAAAUCAUGGUUUAAGCCAAAUUCCUUAAUGUUGUACCAAAGGGGUCUUCGGGUAACAAUAGAAUGAAAAGCAUAAAUAAGCUAACAUGGAAGAUAUAAGAAGUUACCUUGCAUUUAGCCAAACAACGAAUAACUUGUGGUGAGGUCUCUAGUCCUUCUAGUUCAACUUUCAAAGGAUUCCAUAAGAUCAAAAUACGCCCGGCCUGAUGAGUAAGGAAGUUGUUCACUUGCAACAAUCCGUUGAAUUUAUUCCGCAUAAUAC